This 381-nucleotide ribosomal RNA is filed under the name uncultured organism. RNAcentral's name for it is "partial 16S ribosomal RNA". It matches the Rfam family "Bacterial small subunit ribosomal RNA", at positions 527 to 897 of the family's 1533-position model. The record is from RNAcentral.
GAACCGUACGAACGUUUAUUUCGGAAUCACUGGGCUUAAAGCGUGCGUAGGCGGUCUGGAAAGUUGGGUGUGAAAGCCCUCGGCUCAACCGAGGAACUGCGCCCAAAACUGUCAGGCUUGAGGGAGAUAGAGGUGAGCGGAACUAAUGGUGGAGCGGUGAAAUGCGUUGAUAUCAUUAGGAACACCGGUGGCGAAAGCGGCUCACUGGGUCUCUUCUGACGCUGAGGCACGAAAGCUAGGGGAGCGAACGGGGAUUAGAUACCCCGGUAGUCCUAGCUGUAAACGAUGAGCACUGGGUCGAGGGAACCCCCCCCCACAUUCUCUCGGCCCGAAGCGAAAGUGUUAAGUGCUCCGCCUGGGGGAGUAUGGUCGCAAGGCUGA